Non-coding RNA from Strongylocentrotus purpuratus (purple sea urchin), 73 nucleotides. NCBI's taxonomy places the organism in Eukaryota, Metazoa, Echinodermata, Echinoidea, Camarodonta, Strongylocentrotidae. The record is from Rfam.
GACAUGGUGGCUCAGUGGUUAAAGCGCCCGCCUCAUGAACGGGAGGUCGUGGGUUUGAACCCCGGUCGAGUCA